This 177-nucleotide unclassified non-coding RNA is filed under the name uncultured fungus. RNAcentral's name for it is "sequence contains ITS1". Lineage: Eukaryota; Fungi. The record is from RNAcentral.
UUGUUCGAUUCAAGCCCAAACGUUCAGACGGAGAGAGUUUGAAAAAAAAAACAUCGCCGGGGAGGGCAAACCCAGAGGGGCCCACCGGCUCCCCGGACGUCGGCAAAGGGUUGAAGGAUUCCCUCCGUGGGGAGGGUCCAUUCUGUAAUGAUCCUUCCGCAGGUUCACCUACGGAAA